AUAAAUCUUCUUUUUUACAAUAUUCUUGAAAAACAAGGAGGAAAAUUAUGAAUGCAUUAUCAACUUUAUUCCCAGUAUUUUUUAUGAUCAUUUUAGGAAUGAUCGCGCGUAUUAAAAACUUUAUUAGUCCUAAACAAAAAGAAGGAGCCAAUCAUAUUGUUUUCAAUGUAUUGUUUCCUAUCUUAAUUUUUAAUGUUUUAUUUACUGCUAAAAUAAAAGCUUCAGCAAUAUUGAUUGUGCUAUAUGUUUUAGCUGCUUUUACACUAGCUAUGAUUUUAGGUAAAUUUAUUUCUAAAUUUACAGGAAAAGAAAUGGGUCAUAUCUCACCUUAUUUACUUACUACAUGUGAAGGAGGAAAUGUUGCAUUACCACUUUAUACAUCCAUUGUAGGUGUAGCCUAUGCAAGCAAUACAGUUAUUUAUGAUAUUGCUGGAACAGUGAUUGCUUUUAUUAAUAUUCCUGUACUUGUUGUGUAGCGCGAUGGAGGGACGCAGGAAGAUAGGCGGGCCGGGUGUUGGAUAUCCCGGUGCAAGCGUGUAGGAAUAUCCGGUAGGCAAAUCCGCCGGACGAAUCUGAGACGCGAGUCCGUGGGCGCAAGCCCUGAAGCCGUUGAGUCUAUGCUGCCUAGAAAAGCUCCUAAGUUUAUCCACAGCAAUCCGUACCGCAAACCAACUCAGGUGGGUGGGAUGAACAAUCCAAGGCGCUCGAGAGAACUCUGGCCAAGGAACUCGGCAAAAUAACCCCGUAACUUCGGAAGAAGGGGUGCUCUCUAGGGUGACAUGUUUAACAUAUGAAGCCCCGGGGAGCCGCAGUGAAUUGGUGGUGGCGACUGUUUACUAAAAACAUAGGUCUGUGCGAAGUCCUAAAGACGACGUAUACGGACUGACGCCUGCCCGGUGCUGGAAGGUUAAAAGGAGGGGUCAGCGCAAGCAAAGCUCCGAAUUGAAGCCCCAGUAAACGGCGGCCGUAACUAUAACGGUCCUAAGGUAGCGAAAUUCCUUGUCGGGUAAGUUCCGACCUGCACGAAUGGCGUAACGAUCUCCACACUGUCUCGGCCAGAGACUCGGUGAAAUUGCAGUCGCGGUGAAAAUUCCGUGUACCCGCAGAAAGACGGAAAGACCCUGUGCACCUUUACUAUAGCUUGACAUUGGAUUUUGGGCCUGCAUGUGUAGGAUAGGUGGGAGGCUGUGAACCCUGUACGCCAGUAUGGGGGGAGCCAUCCUUGAAAUACCACCCUUGCAUGUUUAAGAUCCUAACUUCUUCCGGUUAUCCCGGAGAAAGACAGUGUCUGGCGGGUAGUUUGACUGGGGCGGUCGCCUCCUAAAGUGUAACGGAGGCAUGCAAAGGUUCCCUCAGCCUGAUCGGAAACCAGGCGCUGAGUGCAAACGCAUAAGGGAGCUUGACUGUAAGAGAGACAUCUCGAACAGGAACGAAAGUUGGCGUUAGUGAUCCGGUGGUCCCGAAUGGAAGGGCCAUCGCUCAUUGGAUAAAAGGUACGCCGGGGAUAACAGGCUGAUCGCAUCCAAGAGUUCACAUCGACGAUGCGGUUUGGCACCUCGAUGUCGGCUCAUCACAUCCUGGGGCUGAAGCAGGUCCCAAGGGUACGGCUGUUCGCCGUUUAAAGUGGUACGCGAGCUGGGUUUAAAACGUCGUGAGACAGUUUGGUCCCUAUCUUCUGUGGGCGAAGGAGAAUUGAGAGGGCCUGUCCCUAGUACGAGAGGACCGGGAUGGACGCACCCCUGGUGAUCCUGUUGUCGCGCCAGCGGCAUAGCAGGGUAGCUAUGUGCGGAAGGGAUAACCGCUGAAAGCAUCUAAGCGGGAAGCCUGCCUCAAGAUAAGUUCUCCCCUCGAAAGAGCUGAAGGGCCCGGGUAGACUACCCGGUCGAUAGGCUGGAGGUGUAAGCGCGGCGACGUGCUCAGCUGACCAGUACUAAUAGCCCGAGCGGCUUAUUUUU
Molecule: ribosomal RNA, 1955 nt
Filed under: human gut metagenome
Description: bacterial LSU rRNA
Rfam family: Bacterial large subunit ribosomal RNA (bases 213-1955)
Source: RNAcentral